This 497-nucleotide ribosomal RNA is filed under the name uncultured bacterium. RNAcentral's name for it is "partial 16S ribosomal RNA". It matches the Rfam family "Bacterial small subunit ribosomal RNA", at positions 28 to 507 of the family's 1533-position model. The record is from RNAcentral.
GAUGAACGCUGGCGGCGUGCCUAAUACAUGCAAGUCGAGCGAACAGACGAGGAGCUUGCUCCUCUGACGUUAGCGGCGGACGGGUGAGUAACACGUGGAUAACCUACCUAUAAGACUGGGAUAACUUCGGGAAACCGGAGCUAAUACCGGAUAAUAUAUUGAACCGCAUGGUUCAAUAGUGAAAGACGGUUUUGCUGUCACUUAUAGAUGGAUCCGCGCCGCAUUGGCUAGUUGGUAAGGUAACGGCUUACCAAGGCAACGAUGCGUAGCCGACCUGAGAGGGUGAUCGGCCACACUGGAACUGAGACACGGUCCAGACUCCUACGGGAGGCAGCAGUAGGGAAUCUUCCGCAAAGGGCGAAAGCCUGACGGAGCAACGCCGCGUGAGUGAUGAAGGUCUUCGGAUCGUAAAACUCUGUUAUUAGGGAAGAGCAAAUGUGUAAGUAACUAUGCACGUCUUGACGGUACCUAAUCAGAAAGCCACGGCUAACUACGUG